This 577-nucleotide long non-coding RNA is filed under the name Monodelphis domestica (gray short-tailed opossum). RNAcentral describes it as "lncRNA (ENSMODG00000036307.2)". The record is from RNAcentral. Lineage: Eukaryota; Metazoa; Chordata; Mammalia; Didelphimorphia; Didelphidae.
CUAGUUUCUAGCCUCUAUCUAACAACUAUCUGACUUGGGUUUAGAAAUUUUCUUGUAACUUCUCUCAAAUCACUAAUUCUCCAUCAACAUCCCCAUUUAGGGAAUCCUGCCUAACCAAGUCCCAAGGAGGCCAUGUGGUUGUAAAGAGUCUCCUCACAGAUGCUGUGCUCCCUGACUGUCAUCCAAAUAAACUUGAGGACAAGAAGGAAAAAUGCUAUGCAAAGCCAGAAGAGGUGGCCAGACCCCAGGAAUUUAGAAGGCAGAGAAGUCUUCCAGCAUUACACCGACCUCAUUUGUCAUCAUCAUCAUUAUCACCCAAAUCCUCCAGUGUUCUCCAUAUCAAAUCUUCAGCACCAAGAACAGUUCCAUGCACAAACUAAAGUUUAUUGGAAUAGAUUGAAUUGGAAUCAUAAUUGCAGGUAACUCAAAGUUCACUGGAGGAUGAAUGGGUUUGAACAAAGGAAAGAGUUUGUGAAAAGAGGCCAAGUACCAUCAGCAUUAUUUCAAGUACAAACUGCUACUAUUCAUUUUUAGCUGCAUUAAAUCAAUAAAUUCAUUUUUGGAAGCCCCCUUUACA